This 545-nucleotide ribosomal RNA is filed under the name uncultured bacterium. RNAcentral describes it as "bacterial SSU rRNA". It matches the Rfam family "Bacterial small subunit ribosomal RNA", at positions 267 to 829 of the family's 1533-position model. The record is from RNAcentral.
ACCAAGGCGACGAUCAGUAGCCGGCCUGAGAGGGUGAACGGCCACAUUGGGACUGAGACACGGCCCAAACUCCUACGGGAGGCAGCAGUGGGGAAUAUUGCACAAUGGGGGAAACCCUGAUGCAGCAACGCCGCGUGAGUGAAGAAGUCAUUCGUGAUGUAAAGCUCUAUCAGCAGGGAAGAAAAUGACGGUACCUGACUAAGAAGCCCCGGCUAACUACGUGCCAGCAGCCGCGGUAAUACGUAGGGGGCAAGCGUUAUCCGGAUUUACUGGGUGUAAAGGGAGCGUAGACGGCGACGCAAGUCUGAAGUGAAAUGCCAGUGCUCAACACUGGAACUGCUUUGGAAACUGUGUAGCUAGAGUGCAGGAGAGGUAAGUGGAAUUCCUAGUGUAGCGGUGAAAUGCGUAGAUAUUAGGAGGAACACCAGUGGCGAAGGCGGCUUACUGGACUGUAACUGACGUUGAGGCUCGAAGGCGUGGGGAGCAAACAGGAUUAGAUACCCUGGUAGUCCACGCGGUAAACGAUGAUUACUAGGUGUCGGGGG